RNAcentral lists this ribosomal RNA (339 nucleotides) under Firmicutes bacterium Jbg4. Its description in RNAcentral is "bacterial SSU rRNA". It matches the Rfam family "Bacterial small subunit ribosomal RNA", at positions 537 to 874 of the family's 1533-position model. The record is from RNAcentral. Lineage: Bacteria; Bacillati; Bacillota.
AGCGUUAUCCGGAAUUAUUGGGCGUAAAGCGCGCGUAGGCGGUUUUUUAAGUCUGAUGUGAAAGCCCACGGCUCAACCGUGGAGGGUCAUUGGAAACUGGAAAACUUGAGUGCAGAAGAGGAAAGUGGAAUUCCAUGUGUAGCGGUGAAAUGCGCAGAGAUAUGGAGGAACACCAGUGGCGAAGGCGACUUUCUGGUCUGUAACUGACGCUGAUGUGCGAAAGCGUGGGGAUCAAACAGGAUUAGAUACCCUGGUAGUCCACGCCGUAAACGAUGAGUGCUAAGUGUUAGGGGGUUUCCGCCCCUUAGUGCUGCAGCUAACGCAUUAAGCACUCCGCCU